GGGUUGUGAGGUUAAGCGACUAAGCGUACACGGUGGAUGCCCUGGCAGUCAGAGGCGAUGAAGGACGUGCUAAUCUGCGAUAAGCGUCGGUAAGGUGAUAUGAACCGUUAUAACCGGCGAUUUCCGAAUGGGGAAACCCAGUGUGAUUCGUCACACUAUCAUUAACUGAAUCCAUAGGUUAAUGAGGCGAACCGGGGGAACUGAAACAUCUAAGUACCCCGAGGAAAAGAAAUCAACCGAGAUUCCCCCAGUAGCGGCGAGCGAACGGGGAGGAGCCCAGAGCCUGAAUCAGUGUGUGUGUUAGUGGAAGCGUCUGGAAAGGCGCGCGAUACAGGGUGACAGCCCCGUACACAAAAAUGCACAUAUUGUGAGCUCGAUGAGUAGGGCGGGACACGUGGUAUCCUGUCUGAAUAUGGGGGGACCAUCCUCCAAGGCUAAAUACUCCUGACUGACCGAUAGUGAACCAGUACCGUGAGGGAAAGGCGAAAAGAACCCCGGCGAGGGGAGUGAAAAAGAACCUGAAACCGUGUACGUACAAGCAGUGGGAGCACGCUUCGGCGUGUGACUGCGUACCUUUUGUAUAAUGGGUCAGCGACUUAUAUUCUGUAGCAAGGUUAACCGAAUAGGGGAGCCGAAGGGAAACCGAGUCUUAACUGGGCGUUAAGUUGCAGGGUAUAGACCCGAAACCCGGUGAUCUAGCCAUGGGCAGGUUGAAGGUUGGGUAACACUAACUGGAGGACCGAACCGACUAAUGUUGAAAAAUUAGCGGAUGACUUGUGGCUGGGGGUGAAAGGCCAAUCAAACCGGGAGAUAGCUGGUUCUCCCCGAAAGCUAUUUAGGUAGCGCCUCGUGAAUUCAUCUCCGGGGGUAGAGCACUGUUUCGGCAAGGGGGUCAUCCCGACUUACCAACCCGAUGCAAACUGCGAAUACCGGAGAAUGUUAUCACGGGAGACACACGGCGGGUGCUAACGUCCGUCGUGAAGAGGGAAACAACCCAGACCGCCAGCUAAGGUCCCAAAGUCAUGGUUAAGUGGGAAACGAUGUGGGAAGGCCCAGACAGCCAGGAUGUUGGCUUAGAAGCAGCCAUCAUUUAAAGAAAGCGUAAUAGCUCACUGGUCGAGUCGGCCUGCGCGGAAGAUGUAACGGGGCUAAACCAUGCACCGAAGCUGCGGCAGCGACGCUGAUGCGUUGUUGGGUAGGGGAGCGUUCUGUAAGCCUGCGAAGGUGUGCUGUGAGGCAUGCUGGAGGUAUCAGAAGUGCGAAUGCUGACAUAAGUAACGAUAAAGCGGGUGAAAAGCCCGCUCGCCGGAAGACCAAGGGUUCCUGUCCAACGUUAAUCGGGGCAGGGUGAGUCGACCCCUAAGGCGAGGCCGAAAGGCGUAGUCGAUGGGAAACAGGUUAAUAUUCCUGUACUUGGUGUUACUGCGAAGGGGGGACGGAGAAGGCUAUGUUGGCCGGGCGACGGUUGUCCCGGUUUAAGCGUGUAGGCUGGUUUUCCAGGCAAAUCCGGAAAAUCAAGGCUGAGGCGUGAUGACGAGGCACUACGGUGCUGAAGCAACAAAUGCCCUGCUUCCAGGAAAAGCCUCUAAGCAUCAGGUAACAUCAAAUCGUACCCCAAACCGACACAGGUGGUCAGGUAGAGAAUACCAAGGCGCUUGAGAGAACUCGGGUGAAGGAACUAGGCAAAAUGGUGCCGUAACUUCGGGAGAAGGCACGCUGAUAUGUAGGUGAAGUCCCUCGCGGAUGGAGCUGAAAUCAGUCGAAGAUACCAGCUGGCUGCAACUGUUUAUUAAAAACACAGCACUGUGCAAACACGAAAGUGGACGUAUACGGUGUGACGCCUGCCCGGUGCCGGAAGGUUAAUUGAUGGGGUCAGCGCAAGCGAAGCUCUUGAUCGAAGCCCCGGUAAACGGCGGCCGUAACUAUAACGGUCCUAAGGUAGCGAAAUUCCUUGUCGGGUAAGUUCCGACCUGCACGAAUGGCGUAAUGAUGGCCAGGCUGUCUCCACCCGAGACUCAGUGAAAUUGAACUCGCUGUGAAGAUGCAGUGUACCCGCGGCAAGACGGAAAGACCCCGUGAACCUUUACUAUAGCUUGACACUGAACAUUGAGCCUUGAUGUGUAGGAUAGGUGGGAGGCUUUGAAGUGUGGACGCCAGUCUGCAUGGAGCCGACCUUGAAAUACCACCCUUUAAUGUUUGAUGUUCUAACGUUGACCCGUAAUCCGGGUUGCGGACAGUGUCUGGUGGGUAGUUUGACUGGGGCGGUCUCCUCCUAAAGAGUAACGGAGGAGCACGAAGGUUGGCUAAUCCUGGUCGGACAUCAGGAGGUUAGUGCAAUGGCAUAAGCCAGCUUGACUGCGAGCGUGACGGCGCGAGCAGGUGCGAAAGCAGGUCAUAGUGAUCCGGUGGUUCUGAAUGGAAGGGCCAUCGCUCAACGGAUAAAAGGUACUCCGGGGAUAACAGGCUGAUACCGCCCAAGAGUUCAUAUCGACGGCGGUGUUUGGCACCUCGAUGUCGGCUCAUCACAUCCUGGGGCUGAAGUAGGUCCCAAGGGUAUGGCUGUUCGCCAUUUAAAGUGGUACGCGAGCUGGGUUUAGAACGUCGUGAGACAGUUCGGUCCCUAUCUGCCGUGGGCGCUGGAGAACUGAGGGGGCUGCUCCUAGUACGAGAGGACCGGAGUGGACGCAUCACUGGUGUUCGGGUUGUCAUGCCAAUGGCACUGCCCGGUAGCUAAAUGCGGAAGAGAUAAGUGCUGAAAGCAUCUAAGCACGAAACUUGCCCCGAGAUGAGUUCUCCCUGACCCUUUAAGGGUCCUGAAGGAACGUUGAAGACGACGACGUUGAUAGGCCGGGUGUGUAAGCGCAGCGAUGCGUUGAGCUAACCGGUACUAAUGAACCGUGAGGCUUAACCUUACAACGCCGAAG
RNAcentral lists this ribosomal RNA (2924 nucleotides) under Escherichia coli. RNAcentral's name for it is "23S ribosomal RNA". It matches the Rfam family "Bacterial large subunit ribosomal RNA". Lineage: Bacteria; Pseudomonadati; Pseudomonadota; Gammaproteobacteria; Enterobacterales; Enterobacteriaceae. The record is from RNAcentral.